CCCGCUGAACUUAAGCAUAUCAAUAAGCGGAGGAAAAGAAACUAACAAGGAUUCCCCUAGUAACGGCGAGUGAAGCGGGAAGAGCUCAAAUUUUUAAUCUGGCUAGUAUUACUGGUCCGAGUUGUAUUUUAUAGAAGCGUUUUCGGUGGCAGCCUCGGUAUAAAUCCUUUGGAACAGGGUAUCAUAGAGGGUGAGAAUCCCGUCUUUGACUGAGUGCAUGCUACUAUGUGAUACGUUUUCAAAGAGUCGAGUUGUUUGGGAAUGCAGCUCAAAAGGGUGGUAGAUUUCAUCUAAAGCUAAAUAUUGGCGAGAGACCGAUAGCGAACAAGUACCGUGAGGGAAAGAUGAAAAGAACUUUGAAAAGAGAGUUAAAAGUGCGUGAAAUUGUUGAAAGGGAAACGUUUGAACCCAGCCAUGUAGUUGGAAAAUCAGUCUUUGGCUGUGAGGAGUUGCAUUGGUUACAGACCGCAAGGCUGUCCAUUGUCUCAUCUUUGCAGUCAGGGAUGCACUUUUUCAAUUGCAGGUCAACAUCAGUUUGCUUUGCUGGAUAAAACUCUGAGGGAAUGUGACAGCUUUGGCUGUGUUAUAGCCCUGGAGCGAUACAGUGGGGUGGACUGAGGCUUUAUUUUGCAGUGUGUGCUCUCGGGCAAGGCUGACUGGGUGCUAUGAGGUUGUCUGGUGUACAAUACAUGUAUUUUGCAUUGGAUUUGACUUUGUACUCGCUCAACUCGGCUCUUCCACGCUUAAGAUGUUGACAUAAUGGUUUUAAACGACCCGUCUUGAAACACGG
Molecule: ribosomal RNA, 790 nt
Filed under: uncultured fungus
Lineage: Eukaryota; Fungi
Description: eukaryotic LSU rRNA
Rfam family: Eukaryotic large subunit ribosomal RNA
Source: RNAcentral